UGCCUAGUGGUGGGGGAUAACGUUCGAAACGGACGCUAAUACCGCAUACGUCCUACGGGAGAAANCGGGGGGAUCUUCGGACCUCGCGCCAUUAGAUGAGCCUAGGUCGGAUUAGCUAGUUGGUGAGGGUAAUGGCUCACCAAGGCGACGAUCCGUAACUGGUCUGAGAGGAUGAUCAGUCACACUGGAACUGAGACACGGUCCAGACUCCUACGGGAGGCAGCAGUGGGGAAUAUUGGACAAUGGGCGAAAGCCUGAUCCAGCCAUGCCGCGUGUGUGAAGAAGGUCUUCGGAUUGUAAAGCACUUUAAGUUGGGAGGAAGGGUAGUAACCUAAUACGUUGCUACUUUGACGUUACCGACAGAAUAAGCACCGGCUAACUUCGUG
RNAcentral lists this ribosomal RNA (386 nucleotides) under uncultured bacterium. Its description in RNAcentral is "bacterial SSU rRNA". It matches the Rfam family "Bacterial small subunit ribosomal RNA", at positions 127 to 507 of the family's 1533-position model. The record is from RNAcentral.